RNAcentral lists this non-coding RNA (48 nucleotides) under Schistosoma margrebowiei. The record is from RNAcentral. Lineage: Eukaryota; Metazoa; Platyhelminthes; Trematoda; Strigeidida; Schistosomatidae.
AUCCAGCUGAUGAAUUCUAAAUAGGAUGAAAUGCACAUCAAACAGGAU